Molecule: ribosomal RNA, 384 nt
Filed under: Triticum aestivum (bread wheat)
Lineage: Eukaryota; Viridiplantae; Streptophyta; Magnoliopsida; Poales; Poaceae
Description: partial small subunit ribosomal RNA
Source: RNAcentral
AUGUCCAUCGACAUCUCGGACGGCGUACAGUUCAACUACGACCUCGUCUCCGUCGCCACAUACAAGGCCAUUGAGCGUGGCAUCUUCGUCAGCGCCACCGCCGGCAAUGCGGGGCCGGCCGCCGGGAGCGUCUCCAACUGCGCGUCGUGGAUGCUCACGGUUGCGGCCGGCACCACGGACCGGGCGAUACGCACCACAGUGAAGCUUGGCAACGGCCAGGAGUUCGACGGCGAGUCCCUGUUCCAGCCCCACAACAACUCCGUCGCGUGCCUGCUCCCGCUCGUGUUCCCCGGCGACCUGGACGCCCGCGGCUGCAGCUCCCUCCCCGACUUGGUGAGCGGCAGAGCUGCACGGCCGCGGAAGCUGCAUGCAGGGCGUGGGUGA